RNAcentral lists this long non-coding RNA (3274 nucleotides) under Homo sapiens (human). RNAcentral describes it as "non-protein coding lnc-AES-1:5". Lineage: Eukaryota; Metazoa; Chordata; Mammalia; Primates; Hominidae. The record is from RNAcentral.
UGUUUACCCCUCACUGUUUAUACCUAGGCAGGCAAACUUCCCUGGCGUCUGGGCCCACCCGCAGACAAGACAUAGAAAGAUACAAGAUUAGGAGCCCUGGAAUGCGUGUUCUCGCGGUGCACAUGGAGUGGGGGAGGAGCCAGGCCAGGGCUAGGGACCUAAAGUGCCCCCAGUCUCCAUCCGCAGCCCCAGCGGCCCCCUGCCCCUCUCCAGGGCGGGCUGGGAUGCUGGGUGUGGGCGUCUCUCCCUCCUCUUUCCCUCCCACCUGCCUCUCCUUUCUUUCCUGCCCUCAGCUGUCUCUUGCUGUCUCCCCCCUUUGUCUGUCUCUGCCACUCCCCUAUCUCUUUGUCUCCGUGUCCCCCCAUCCUUCCCCACCCCCAUCUCCCGCUCCCCCUCUCUCUCCCCCAUACAGUACUACGAGAUGUCCUACGGCUUGAACAUCGAGAUGCACAAACAGGCUGAGAUCGUCAAAAGGCUGAACGGGAUUUGUGCCCAGGUCCUGCCCUACCUCUCCCAAGAGGUAAGAGCCAGGGCCUUGGGGAGGGGUUGUGAGGGGGCCCCGCACUUGCCCAGCCCCUGUCCACUGCAGCCAUCUUGGGUGGUGUGCUGGGCGCCCCAGGGCACACGCCUCCCCUCUCUGGACCUCCCUGGCUCUGAACACCAGAGCCGGCCUGUGCAGAAGAAUCCCCGGGCCAGAGACACUCCAGGGGUGCAGGCGUGUGGGGGGCGGGCCUCACCCUGCUCUGGAAUUCCCAGCUGGAGUGAGUCAUGUCAUAGGUAGAAAUGUCAGAUGGGCCUAAACUGCACCAGGAAUGUUUUUUUCUCAUCUCUCUUCCUCCUUUCACCCUCUUGAGACAUCCUCCUCCAGGCCAUGCGGGCUGCACAGGACCAAGGACUAGAGGGUGUUAGGGGAUUGUGGGGGAAGGGGUAGCACAGGGUGGUCACACAUGGACACAGCCACACAGAUAGGCACGAGCACAUCAACACACGGGAGAUACACAGAUGCAGACACGGAUACACGUGUGUGCAGACAGCACAGGGACACGCAUGCAGGAAUGUGCAGCUACACGUGGGCACACGUGAUCCUGAGCACACAUUACCACAUGCACACACACACCCAGAUGAACCUGACGCCCAGCUCCUCUUCUCCUUUCUUGGGUUCUGAGGCUCAGGAUGCGAGGCCGCCCCUCCCCAGGGCCAUGUAAGGCCCAUCUCCUGUCCCUGCCAAGUUUACUGUCAAAAGUUUGUAACUUCCUCUUCAAUCCCUGUGGGUAUCUCAGGAUCCUUUGGGUGCCCUGCUUUGCCCAGGGACAAGUCUUAGCAGGACCCAAUGAAAGCCCUAGAGAAAAGGGCACUUGGAGCCCUUCAGAACAGAGGCUUCCUGGUAGCCAAGGCAAAAAGGGAGAUUGGUAGAUUCUAGCAUCUGCUGGCCACAGAGUCAGGUGUUUGGGGAGAGCUCAGGGAGGAACUGCCCUGAAUCUGAGCCCAUUCCCCAGCCAGCCCUGCCAGAAUUCAUUGGGCCCUCCCCAGCCAUGGUAGGAGAAGGGCUCAAUUUGGCCAGACUCAGGGCACAGUCUUGGAGCUCCUAGGAUCAGGACGUCCCUGUACAGUUGGGCAGGUUGUGUACUGCACAAACAUUCACAUGUUUCACAUCUUUGCAGGUGGCUGUGCACAUAGGAUAGGUCAGGAUCCAGGGUUUCUCCCGGGCUCACUCAAAAGCUGUUUCCUAACUACUUAGCACAAAACCCUUUUAAUUGUUUUCUGCACUUUUCCAUUUGUCUCUGUUGGCCAGACGAAGAGACGAGCUUGGUGAAAGGAAGCAGUUGGAGAGAGGGAGGGUGCUUUCUGAUGGGGUUGAAAACCACUGGGAGGAGCAGACAUGAUGGCCCACUUGGUAGUGGGGCUCCUCCUGGCCUCAGGGCCGUCCCCCUCUCCUCUCCCAGGAUCAGGAGGAAUCACUGCCUCUCCUCUCCCCCGACCCCCUUCCAGCACCAGCAGCAGGUCUUGGGAGCCAUUGAGAGGGCCAAGCAGGUCACCGCUCCCGAGCUGAACUCUAUCAUCCGAGUAUGUAUGGGGACCUGGGCGGGUGGGCGGGGGACAGGUGGGCCCCAGGCAGCUAAUGUUCCCCUCCCCCGCCCUGCAGCAGCAGCUCCAAGCCCACCAGCUGUCCCAGCUGCAGGCCCUGGCCCUGCCCUUGACCCCACUACCCGUGGGGCUGCAGCCGCCUUCGCUGCCGGCGGUCAGCGCAGGCACCGGCCUCCUCUCGCUGUCCGCGCUGGGUUCCCAGGCCCACCUCUCCAAGGAAGACAAGAACGGGCACGAUGGUGACACCCACCAGGAGGAUGAUGGCGAGAAGUCGGAUUAGCAGGGGGCCGGGACAGGGAGGUUGGGAGGGGGGACAGAGGGGAGACAGAGGCACGGAGAGAAAGGAAUGUUUAGCACAAGACACAGCGGAGCUCGGGAUUGGCUAAACUCCCAUAGUAUUUAUGGUGGCCGCCGGCGGGGGCCCCAGCCCAGCUUGCAGGCCACCUCUAGCUUUCUUCCUACCCCAUUCCCGGCUUCCCUCCUCCUCCCCUGCAGCCUGGUUAGGUGGAUACCUGCCCUGACAUGUGAGGCAAGCUAAGGCCUGGAGGGUCAGAUGGGAGACCAGGUCCCAAGGGAGCAAGACCUCGCGAAGCGCAGCAGCCCCGGCCCUUCCCCCGUUUUGAACAUGUGUAACCGACAGUCUGCCUGGGCCACAGCCCUCUCACCCUGGUACUGCAUGCACGCAAUGCUAGCUGCCCCUUUCCCGUCCUGGGCACCCCGAGUCUCCCCCGACCCCGGGUCCCAGGUAUGCUCCCACCUCCACCUGCCCCACUCACCACCUCUGCUAGUUCCAGACACCUCCACGCCCACCUGGUCCUCUCCCAUCGCCCACAAAAGGGGGGGCACGAGGGACGAGCUUAGCUGAGCUGGGAGGAGCAGGGUGAGGGUGGGCGACCCAGGAUUCCCCCUCCCCUUCCCAAAUAAAGAUGAGGGUACUAAAGUUGUCUUGGUUUUUAUUUUAUUAUUAUUUUUUUCUUUUUCCAGUAUACUAGCUUGUCUUUUAAGAAAGGGGAUAUUAAAAAAAAAAAAAGACAAAAGUGUUUUUAAAAAAAAGCAACACCCACACCUGUGUCUGUAUAUAGUCAGCUUAUCUCGUGUUCAAUCGUCUGAUCUCUACAGAGAGAAGUGGAAAAUGCUGUAUCAAGGGUGGGCUUAGCUGUGCCUUUCCAAUAAAGAUGUGAGAAGCUUC